AUUGAACGCUGGCGGCAUGCCUUACACAUGCAAGUCGAACGGCAGCACGGGAGCAAUCCUGGUGGCGAGUGGCGAACGGGUGAGUAAUACAUCGGAACGUGCCCAAUCGUGGGGGAUAACGCAGCGAAAGCUGUGCUAAUACCGCAUACGAUCUACGGAUGAAAGCAGGGGAUCGCAAGACCUUGCGCGAAUGGAGCGGCCGAUGGCAGAUUAGGUAGUUGGUGAGGUAAAGGCUCACCAAGCCGUCGAUCUGUAGCUGGUCUGAGAGGACGACCAGCCACACUGGGACUGAGACACGGCCCAGACUCCUACGGGAGGCAGCAGUGGGGAAUUUUGGACAAUGGGCGAAAGCCUGAUCCAGCCAUGCCGCGUGCAGGAUGAAGGCCUUCGGGUUGUAAACUGCUUUUGUACGGAACGAAACGGCCUUUUCUAAUAAAGAGGGCUAAUGACGGUACCGUAAGAAUAAGCACCGGCUAACUACGUGCCAGCAGCCGCGGUAAUACGUAGGGUGCAAGCGUUAAUCGGAAUUACUGGGCGUAAAGCGUGCGCAGGCGGUUAUGUAAGACAGUUGUGAAAUCCCCGGGCUCAACCUGGGAACUGCAUCUGUGACUGCAUAGCUAGAGUACGGUAGAGGGGGAUGGAAUUCCGCGUGUAGCAGUGAAAAUGCGUAGAUAUGCGGAGGAACACCGAUGGCGAAGGCAAUCCCCUGGACCUGUACUGACGCUCAUGCACGAAAACGUGGGGAGCAACAGGAAUAAAACCCCUAGUAGCCCAAGGGCAAUUCGACGUGGAUAUCAAGUUAUCGUACCGCGACCCCAGGGGGGGCCCGUACCCACUUUUUGUUCCUUUUAUUAGGGAAAUUGAACGCUGGGCUUAUCA
RNAcentral lists this ribosomal RNA (879 nucleotides) under uncultured Comamonadaceae bacterium. Its description in RNAcentral is "bacterial SSU rRNA". It matches the Rfam family "Bacterial small subunit ribosomal RNA". Lineage: Bacteria; Pseudomonadati; Pseudomonadota; Betaproteobacteria; Burkholderiales; Comamonadaceae. The record is from RNAcentral.